GACGGACGCUGGCGGCGUGCUUAACACAUGCAAGUCGAACGGAAAGGCCCUGCUUUUGUGGGGUGCUCGAGUGGCGAACGGGUGAGUAACACGUGAGUAACCUGCCCUUGACUUUGGGAUAACUUCAGGAAACUGGGGCUAAUACCGGAUAGGAGCUCCUGCUGCAUGGUGGGGGUUGGAAAGUUUCGGCGGUUGGGGAUGGACUCGCGGCUUAUCAGCUUGUUGGUGGGGUAGUGGCUUACCAAGGCUUUGACGGGUAGCCGGCCUGAGAGGGUGACCGGCCACAUUGGGACUGAGAUACGGCCCAGACUCCUACGGGAGGAAGCAGUGGGGAAUAUUGCACAAUGGGCGGAAGCCUGAUGCAGCAACGCCGCGUGCGGGAUGACGGCCUUCGGGUUGGAAACCGCUUUCGCCUGUGACGAAGCGUGAGUGACGGUAAUGUGUAAAGAAGCACCGGCUAACUACGUG
This 468-nucleotide ribosomal RNA is filed under the name uncultured bacterium. RNAcentral describes it as "partial 16S ribosomal RNA". It matches the Rfam family "Bacterial small subunit ribosomal RNA", at positions 28 to 507 of the family's 1533-position model. The record is from RNAcentral.